This 184-nucleotide unclassified non-coding RNA is filed under the name fungal sp. Its description in RNAcentral is "partial internal transcribed spacer region". The stretch from base 1 to 46 matches the Rfam family "Eukaryotic small subunit ribosomal RNA", at positions 1786 to 1831 of the family's 1831-position model. Lineage: Eukaryota; Fungi. The record is from RNAcentral.
AAGUCGUAACAAGGUUUCCGUAGGUGAACCUGCGGAAGGAUCAUUAACACAAUAUCCUAACACCUUGUGUGAACCCGUAACCGUCUUUUUUACGUUACUCGAAUUCAACUGAUGCUGGAGCCUUCGGGUUCUUAGCAUUUAAAACUAAUCAAAACAACUGCUAGCAACGGAUGUCUUGGUUCUC